AUUAGAAUCUCAGUGUUCCUUCAUGCUUGUAGUACGUGGGACACUCAGUAAUGCCUGACACCAGGUCACCUCUGUUCUUCCCCCAAAUUACAAGGAAUGGAGGCUGGGAAACUACAUUUCUGAGACUCCUUCAUCAUCAGGAUGCCAGAUAAUAUUUUAAAAGCUGACUCCACCAGAGACCCAAUUCUUGAACUUUUAAUGCACAUUUGGAAAUCCAUUGUGUUUAGUUGGCUUAGAUUAUAAACUGCAGGAGAACAAGAAGUGUAUCAAUUAUGUUCCAGUUUCUGGGAUGUACUCUUCUAGUGGAUCCACAAGCAAAAGGGAAGAGAGGCUAUUCCAUAUACUUACUAGAAUAUAUGAGUUUUACAAAUUGGAAUGAUAGGCAUUGAUAUUGACACAUCUGAAGAAGGAGUGAUCAAAGAGAAGUGGCCCUGGAGCUCUCCCCAUGAAAAGAUUAAAUUUUUAAGAAGAUGCUGCUCACCUAAAACUUAUCAAUAAAGUCAACUAUAGUUUCAAAUUGGCAAAUCAU
Pan troglodytes (chimpanzee) is the source of this 529-nucleotide long non-coding RNA. RefSeq lists it as uncharacterized. NCBI's taxonomy places the organism in Eukaryota, Metazoa, Chordata, Mammalia, Primates, Hominidae. The record is from RefSeq and is a predicted model, not a curated record. The transcript is spliced from 5 exons.